RNAcentral lists this ribosomal RNA (441 nucleotides) under uncultured bacterium. RNAcentral describes it as "partial 16S ribosomal RNA". It matches the Rfam family "Bacterial small subunit ribosomal RNA", at positions 338 to 795 of the family's 1533-position model. The record is from RNAcentral.
CCUACGGGGGGCUGCAGUGGGGAAUAUUGCGCAAUGGGGGCAACCCUGACGCAGCAACGCCGCGUGAUUGAAGAAGGCCUUCGGGUUGUAAAGAUCGUUAAGCGGGGACGAAGGUUGACGGUACCCGAAGAAUAAGCGCCGGCUAACUACGUGCCAGCAGCCGCGGUAAGACGUAGGGAGCAAGCGUGAUCCGGAUUUACGGGGUGUAAAGGGCGUGUAGGGGGGCCUGCAAGCCAGAAGUGAAAUCUGGGGGCUUAACCCCCAAACUGCUUUUGGAACUGCGUGUCUUGAGUGCUGGAGAGGCAGGCUGACUUCCCCGUGUAGCGGUGAACUGCGUAGCUAUUGGGAGGAACACCAGUGGCGAAGGCGGCCUGCUGGACCUUACCUGCCGCUGUGGCGCGAAAGCGUGGGGAGCACACCGGAUUAGAUCCCCGAGUAGUC